GCUGGCGUAGCUCAGUGGCCAGAGCAGGGGUUUUGUAAACCUCAGGUCGUGGGUUCGAAUCCCUCCGCCAGCUCCA
RNAcentral lists this transfer RNA (76 nucleotides) under Candidatus Desantisiibacteriota bacterium. RNAcentral's name for it is "Candidatus Desantisbacteria bacterium (hot springs metagenome) tRNA-Thr". It matches the Rfam family "tRNA". Rfam says of the family: Transfer RNA (tRNA) molecules are approximately 80 nucleotides in length. Their secondary structure includes four short double-helical elements and three loops (D, anti-codon, and T loops). Further hydrogen bonds mediate the characteristic L-shaped molecular structure. tRNAs have two regions of fundamental functional importance: the anti-codon, which is responsible for specific mRNA codon recognition, and the 3' end, to which the tRNAs corresponding amino acid is attached (by aminoacyl-tRNA synthetases). tRNAs cope with the degeneracy of the genetic code in two manners: having more than one tRNA (with a specific anti-codon) for a particular amino acid; and 'wobble' base-pairing, i.e. permitting non-standard base-pairing at the 3rd anti-codon position. The record is from RNAcentral. Lineage: Bacteria; Candidatus Desantisiibacteriota.